AAGGUUUUAAGUUAACUAAACUGUUAGCCUUCAAAGCUUAAAAUAAAGAUCUAUUUUUAAACCUUGCC
Molecule: transfer RNA, 68 nt
Filed under: Neptuneopsis gilchristi
Lineage: Eukaryota; Metazoa; Mollusca; Gastropoda; Neogastropoda; Volutidae
Description: tRNA-Trp
Source: RNAcentral